Long non-coding RNA from Fukomys damarensis (Damara mole-rat), 598 nucleotides. RefSeq lists it as uncharacterized. The record is from RefSeq and is a predicted model, not a curated record. The transcript has 3 exons. Lineage: Eukaryota; Metazoa; Chordata; Mammalia; Rodentia; Bathyergidae.
UCUAUUGGCCAAUGCCGGCCUGCGUCAUUCUGACGAGCCAAGCGCCCCUUCUGCACAUGCGUGAACCGCCAUCACCGGCCGACUCGCAUCCGGGAUUCAUGCAGGGCAUGAAGAACCCGGAAAUAAUGGCGCGCGACACCUGGGGAAUGGGGAGUCUGUGUUGGAGACUUAGCCCUUAGCCGAGCCCAGCUGACCCAAAACUCAACUGGCUGGAGGUCCCUGGCCCCAGGGGAGCUUUCUUCUCUGUUCCGGUAGCAGGUGCUCUCAAAGCAGGAUGUCUGUGUGUCAGGUGCAGGCCUAAGGGCUGGAGCUGGAGCACAGGUGGAUCAGCUAAGACAGCUGGACUGUGUUCCCCAGGGCACUGUGUCAGCAAAGCUGGUGUCUGACAAGGGAAGCGAACAGCUCCAGAGAGCCCCUCUCUCCACUCCAAGCUCAGAAGGCUGUUAAGGAGCUACGGCCAGGAGUCCCACCGAGACUGUGCGCCCCUAAGCCACCCUUCCUGGGAGGGUGACGAGCCAGGGGCAUGUGCUGUGCCCUAGAUCCUUCAGGACAGAGUCUCAGAUGUGAGCCCUGCAGGCUUAAAAAUAAACUGACGCAG